GGAUUUCAAGCCAAAGCUGAUCAAAAAAGGCAAAGAAGGACAUGACAUAUUGGUUAACAGUACUGUUCAACAAGAAGAGAUAACAAUUAUAAACUUAUAUGCACCAAACCAUUGUGCACCCAAUUACAUAAAACAAACUCUAAUGAACGUAAAAGAUCAGAUGAACAUCAAUACAGUUAUAGUGGGGAUCGCAAUACCCCAGUAUCACAAAUAGGUCAACUAAAAGAAGCAGACAAAAAAAAUGCAAGUUGGGUGUGGUGGUGCAUGCUUGUAACCCCAGCACUUCUGCAGGCUGAGUCAGGAGGACUGCAAGUUCAAGUCCAGCCUGGACAAUUUAAAGCACGUUUUAUUCAGCAGUUUCAGAAGUGAAUCCCACUGAACCUUACUGGUUGGAGAAUUCUAUUGUUUCAAAACUUCUCUAAAGAGCAUAGAGAAGGAGAAACUCUUCUAUAUUAUUCCGGUAAUUUGUAUAUCAAUGAUAACCAGAUACAAUCACCAUAAUCUAAGGAAAUCUCAGUGAAAUAUUUUGCGCUUUCCAGGCCCCCUUUUCUCUCAGUACUGUAUAGUGAGAAGAAUUCUAGCUUUUAAACUGGCAUGGUGGUACAUGCCUGUAAUCCCAGGAUGCUGGGAGGUUGAAGCAGGAGGAUCAGAAGUUCAAGCCCUCCUUAGUUAACAACUUAGUGAGAUUCUGUCCCAAAAUAUAAAAUAAAACAGGAUGGGAAUAUAGUUCAGGGUAGAGGCUCUCAUUUCAGUCUCCAGUAACACACACACACACA
RNAcentral lists this long non-coding RNA (776 nucleotides) under Heterocephalus glaber (naked mole-rat). RNAcentral's name for it is "lncRNA (ENSHGLG00100035185.1)". Lineage: Eukaryota; Metazoa; Chordata; Mammalia; Rodentia; Bathyergidae. The record is from RNAcentral.